Molecule: non-coding RNA, 147 nt
Submitted as: unclassified sequences
Source: Rfam
CAUGAUGAAACUAAAUUAGUUUUGGAUUGUAUAGAAGGUAGUCGCAGUCGCCUCAACUCCGACCCUUGCACAGUUUAUUGCGCAAGAGUAAGGUGAGAAACAACUUUAGUUGGAAACUUUAAUUUUGUCAAGAAAUUAAAGAACUGU